AUACUGGGCGUAAGCGCGCGUAGGUGGCUAAGUCAGCCAGGUGUGAAAGCCCCGGGCUCAACCUGGGAACGGCAUCUGGAACUGCUUGGCUAGAGUGCAGGAGAGGAAGGUAGAAUUCCCGGUGUAGCGGUGAAAUGCGUAGAGAUCGGGAGGAAUACCAGUGGCGAAGGCGGCCUUCUGGACUGACACUGACACUGAGGUGCGAAAGCGUGGGUAGCAAACAGGAUUAGAUACCCUGGUAGUCCACGCCGUAAACGAUGUCAACUAGCCGUUGGGUCCCUUGAGGACUUAGUGGCGCAGCUAACGCAAUAAGUUGACCGCCUGGGGAGUACGGCCGCAAGGUUAAAACUCAAAUGAAUUGACGGGGGCCCGCACAAGCGGUGGAGCAUGUGGUUUAAUUCGAUGCAACGCGAAGAACCUUACCUACCCUUGACAUCCAGAGGACUUUCCAGAGAUGGAUUGGUGCCUUCGGGAACUCUGAGACAGGUGCUGCAUGGCUGUCGUCAGCUCGUGUUGUGAAAUGUUGGGUUAAGUCCCGUAACGAGCGCAACCCCUAUCCUUAUUUGCCAGCGAGUAAUGUCGGGAACUCUAAGGAGACUGCCGGUGACAAACCGGAGGAAGGUGGGGACGACGUCAAGUCAUCAUGGCCCUUACGGGUAGGGCUACACACGUGCUACAAUGGCAAGUACAAAGGGUUGCAAUACUGCGAAGUGGAGCCAAUCCCAUAAAGCUUGCCUCAGUCCGGAUUGGAGUCUGCAACUCGACUCCAUGAAGUCGGAAUCGCUAGUAAUCGUGGAUCAGAAUGCCACGGUGAAUACGUUCCCGGGCCUUGUACACACCGCCCGUCACACCAUGGGAGUGGACUGCACCAGAAGUGGGUUAGCCUAACCUUCGGGAGGGCGAUCACCACGGUGUGGUUCAUGACUGGGGGUGAA
RNAcentral lists this ribosomal RNA (935 nucleotides) under Cobetia sp. RNAcentral describes it as "bacterial SSU rRNA". It matches the Rfam family "Bacterial small subunit ribosomal RNA", at positions 551 to 1484 of the family's 1533-position model. Lineage: Bacteria; Pseudomonadati; Pseudomonadota; Gammaproteobacteria; Oceanospirillales; Halomonadaceae. The record is from RNAcentral.